UACGUAGGGUCCGAGCGUUGUCCGGAAUUACUGGGCGUAAAGCGUGCGCAGGCGGCUUUGCAAGACAGAUGUGAAAUCCCCGGGCUCAACCUGGGAACUGCAUUUGUGACUGCAAGGCUAGAGUACGGCAGAGGGGGAUGGAAUUCCGCGUGUAGCAGUGAAAUGCGUAGAUAUGCGGAGGAACACCAAUGGCGAAGGCAAUCCCCUGGGCCUGUACUGACGCUCAUGCACGAAAGCGUGGGGAGCAAACAGG
Molecule: ribosomal RNA, 253 nt
Filed under: uncultured bacterium
Lineage: Bacteria
Description: partial 16S ribosomal RNA
Rfam family: Bacterial small subunit ribosomal RNA
Source: RNAcentral